This 103-nucleotide small nucleolar RNA is filed under the name Jaculus jaculus (lesser Egyptian jerboa). RNAcentral's name for it is "Small nucleolar RNA SNORA72 (ENSJJAG00000008776.1)". It matches the Rfam family "Small nucleolar RNA SNORA72". Rfam says of the family: U72 is a member of the H/ACA class of snoRNAs. The snoRNA gene is located in intron 4 of the ribosomal L30 protein gene in human, mouse and chicken. Lineage: Eukaryota; Metazoa; Chordata; Mammalia; Rodentia; Dipodidae. The record is from Rfam by way of RNAcentral.
UUGUGACUAUUCUCACUGUUUGCUGUAUUAAGACCAUGCAUGUGUCUGCAGACCUGGAUCUUUUCUUUCCCUAGGUCUGGUUUUACAAAUGCUGCUGAUACUA